This 460-nucleotide ribosomal RNA is filed under the name uncultured bacterium. RNAcentral describes it as "partial 16S ribosomal RNA". It matches the Rfam family "Bacterial small subunit ribosomal RNA", at positions 338 to 795 of the family's 1533-position model. The record is from RNAcentral.
CCUACGGGUGGCAGCAGUGAGGAAUAUUGGUCAAUGGGCGCGAGCCUGAACCAGCCAAGUAGCGUGAAGGAUGACUGCUCUACGGUUUGUAAACUUCUUUUAUAAAGGAAUAAAGUGAGCCACGUGUGCCUUUUUGCAUGUACUCUAUGAAUAAGGAUCGGCUAACUCCGUGCCAGCAGCCGCGGUAAUACGGAGGAUCCGAGCGUUAUCCGGAUUUAUUGGGUUUAAAGGGAGCGUAGAUGGGUUGUUAAGUCAGUUGUGAAAGUUUGCGGCUCAACCGUAAAAUUGCAGUUGAUACUGGCAGUCUUGAGUGUAGUUGAGGUAGGCGGAAUGCGUGGUGUAGCGGUGAAAUGCAUAGAUAUCACGAAGAACUCCGAUUGCGAAGGCAGCUUACUAAGCUGCAACUGACAUUGAUGCUCGAAAGUGUGGGUAUCAAACAGGAUUAGAUACCCUAGUAGUC